AUUACAGGUUAAGACAUCUGCAAGUCACAUUGAUGUAGUGGGGAUGUCAGAACUUAACCAGGCCUCGCGGGGAAAGGAUAAAAGAUUUCACUUGAGGAACAAGCGCGCAGCACAAAGGUGUUACCUGCAACGACGAGCUCCAGGCUGAACGUGUUUUCACCAGCUCGAUUGCUGGCAACGCAGGUGUAGAUCCCAGCAUCUCUAGCCGUGACUGGCUCUAUGAUCAAGGAGUGCACGCCGUUCUCACGCACCAGCAUCUUGUGCGAGCUAUCGGGACGAAUGGGCCUUCCGUUAAGUUGCCAGCUUAAAUCGGGAGUCGGUAAUCCACUAACCUUCGGUGUGAACAAAACAAUGGGAAACGGUUAGCCAUGCAAAGCACUGGAGGAGUCCUGACUUGUUACUUCAGAGGAGCUGGGGUUUGUUUCCUAGUGCAGGUGUACCACAAGAUUUACUAAUUCCAUCCUGCAUUACACAUUGACUCAGUUGUAUUAAUUUACUUACUUUCUGGCCAACUCCCUGAAUUCCGUGAUGUCUUAUGGGUGUGACUGAAAAAAGAUCGGUGUUUAGAUAGACUAGAAUCUAAAUAAUAAUACAUUGAAAAACAAAAGGCAGGGUGACAUCUUUUGUCCUUUUUGAUUGUUUGCUCUUCAUGUGGAAUACAGAUACUCCUUUCUGAAUUAAUUUCUUGUGGAAAACUUGCAGAGAAAAAGAUGUUAGCUGACUACUUAUUGAACUCUAAAUUCCAUUGCACUGAGGUAUAACCUAGUGACAGCGCUGCCUGCACUAGUUUAUACUUGGUCUGUGUGAACGAGUCCGGCACUGCUGAAAGCCGUGCCACUUGCUGGGGGUACUGCUCAAAAACAAACAGCUUCUCCCAGAUGUACCAGCAGAAAGCAAACAGAAGAAGUCCAAGCCUUAAUUAAUUCUGCAAGGCAAAGUCAUAAAUCAAGAUUAGACUGGCUGAAACUAACAGAGGAUCGAAACUGAAGUGGUAAAAGGACUUAAAAUGGAGAAGCGCUGUCUUUAUGGUGUUUGCUGCUUCCCCCCACGCCCCAACAUAGCUCAACUCUAAAAAUCAGCUUUCUGUUAGCUGUAAAAUUUGCUUGCAGCAAUUUUAUUGGAGGCAAGUUUUUAUUGUCAACUUUUGCUGAUAAGCAGCGAGAUUAAUUAACCCAUUGACACUGCAAAUGGGUAAAAUAGCAUUAAAAAAAUCUUAUCUAACUUGUUUUUUUGAAUCAGCCAAGGUUAUGGAAAGGUAGCUGCUGUCCUUUGCUUGAUGCUUACCUUGCAGUCCAUUCGGCAUAGCUUUCCUUCUUGAACAGUCAUGUCGCCAGGAGCCUGCAGAAAAUGAGGCCGGAAGAAUCGUUCCUGAAUUGGUUCAUUUUCAUCACCACUGUCCCUUGAUCGAGAUCGUGGUCUUAAAAUAACAUGAAAUAAAGGUAAAUUAUUUUUUUUCACUAAAUCAGAAAUAUCUAGAAACACCUAGACAACAAUCUUGCUACAGAAUACUUACUUGUAAUAAUCAUAUAUUUAUACGUGAGAGUACAUUUUGUUUAGUCUUUAAAUCACUGCAAUACAAAUAAAAGAAGCUGGCAAACCUU
Oxyura jamaicensis (ruddy duck) is the source of this 1601-nucleotide long non-coding RNA. RefSeq lists it as uncharacterized. The record is from RefSeq and is a predicted model, not a curated record. NCBI's taxonomy places the organism in Eukaryota, Metazoa, Chordata, Aves, Anseriformes, Anatidae. The transcript is spliced from 2 exons.